This 619-nucleotide ribosomal RNA is filed under the name Penicillium simplicissimum. Its description in RNAcentral is "eukaryotic LSU rRNA". The stretch from base 243 to 396 matches the Rfam family "5.8S ribosomal RNA". The record is from RNAcentral. Lineage: Eukaryota; Fungi; Ascomycota; Eurotiomycetes; Eurotiales; Aspergillaceae.
GGUUGGACCCAGAGGGCCCUCACUCGGUAAUGAUCUUUCCGUAGGUGAACCUGCGGAAGGAUCAUUACCGAGUGAGGGCCCUCUGGGUCCAACCUCCCACCCGUGUUUAUUCUACCUUGUUGCUUCGGCGGGCCCGCCUCACGGCCGCCGGGGGGCACCCGCCCCCGGGCCCGCGCCCGCCGAAGACACCAUUGAACUCUGUCUGAAGAUUGCAGUCUGAGCAGAUUAGCUAAAUCAGUUAAAACUUUCAACAACGGAUCUCUUGGUUCCGGCAUCGAUGAAGAACGCAGCGAAAUGCGAUAAGUAAUGUGAAUUGCAGAAUUCAGUGAAUCAUCGAGUCUUUGAACGCACAUUGCGCCCCCUGGUAUUCCGGGGGGCAUGCCUGUCCGAGCGUCAUUGCUGCCCUCAAGCACGGCUUGUGUGUUGGGCUUCGCCCCCCGGCUCCCGGGGGGCGGGCCCGAAAGGCAGCGGCGGCACCGCGUCCGGUCCUCGAGCGUAUGGGGCUUCGUCACCCGCUCUGUAGGCCCGGCCGGCGCCCGCCGGCGACCCCAAUCAAUCUUUUCAGGUUGACCUCGGAUCAGGUAGGGAUACCCGCUGAACUUAAGCAUAUCAAUAAGCG